UGGGGAAUUUUGGACAAUGGGCGCAAGCCUGAUCCAGCCAUGCCGCGUGAGUGAAGAAGGCCUUCGGGUUGUAAAGCUCUUUCGGCCGGGAAGAAAUCGCACGCUCUAACAUAGCGUGUGGAUGACGGUACCGGACUAAGAAGCACCGGCUAACUACGUGCCAGCAGCCGCGGUAAUACGUAGGGUGCGAGCGUUAAUCGGAAUUACUGGGCGUAAAGCGUGCGCAGGCGGUUUUGUAAGACAGAUGUGAAAUCCCCGGGCUUAACCUGGGAACUGCGUUUGUGACUGCAAGGCUAGAGUACGGCAGAGGGGGGUGGAAUUCCUGGUGUAGCAGUGAAAUGCGUAGAUAUCAGGAGGAACACCGAUGGCGAAGGCAGCCCCCUGGGCCUGUACUGACGCUCAUGCACGAAAGCGUGGGGAGCAAACAGG
Molecule: ribosomal RNA, 429 nt
Filed under: uncultured Thauera sp.
Lineage: Bacteria; Pseudomonadati; Pseudomonadota; Betaproteobacteria; Rhodocyclales; Zoogloeaceae
Description: bacterial SSU rRNA
Rfam family: Bacterial small subunit ribosomal RNA
Source: RNAcentral